Molecule: non-coding RNA, 353 nt
Organism: Bacteroidales bacterium Barb4
Lineage: Bacteria; Pseudomonadati; Bacteroidota; Bacteroidia; Bacteroidales
Rfam family: Bacterial RNase P class A
About the family: Ribonuclease P (RNase P) is a ubiquitous endoribonuclease, found in archaea, bacteria and eukarya as well as chloroplasts and mitochondria. Its best characterised activity is the generation of mature 5'-ends of tRNAs by cleaving the 5'-leader elements of precursor-tRNAs. Cellular RNase Ps are ribonucleoproteins.
Source: Rfam
UCAGUCUGCCGGUCUGCCGCUCGCCAACAGGCGGGAGGAAAGUCCGGGCAACACAGAGCACCGCACUUCUUAACGGGAAGCUGUCCGCGAGGGUAGAGCAGCGUAACAGAAAAUAACCGCCGGAUAUUUCGGUAAGGGUGAAAAGGCGAGGUAAAAGCUCACCAGGUUUCAUAGUAAUAUGGAAUGUUGUACGUCUUGCGGGUUGUAAGGUCAUGUACACCGGCGUUACAGGGUUGCUCGCCCGAUGCCGGGGGGUAGACCGCUAAAGCUUAUCGGCAACGGUAAGACGAGAUAAAUGGCAGGCACCUUCUCGCGGGAAGGAACAGAACCCGGCUUACAGGCAGACUGUUUUU